Molecule: ribosomal RNA, 117 nt
Filed under: Bifidobacterium sp. CP2
Lineage: Bacteria; Bacillati; Actinomycetota; Actinomycetes; Bifidobacteriales; Bifidobacteriaceae
Also listed under: 1 other name
Source: RNAcentral
UGCGGCGGUCAUGGCCAGGGUGAGACGCCCGGUCCCAUUCCGAACCCGGAAGCUAAGGCCCUGCACGGCGAUGGUACUGCACCCGACAGGGUGUGGGAGAGUAGCACGCCGCCGCAU